This is a long non-coding RNA of Girardinichthys multiradiatus, 1209 nucleotides long. RefSeq lists it as uncharacterized. The record is from RefSeq and is a predicted model, not a curated record. Lineage: Eukaryota; Metazoa; Chordata; Actinopteri; Cyprinodontiformes; Goodeidae. The transcript has 5 exons.
ACACAGCUGGUGUAAGUUUAAAAUGCUUCACAGUGUGUGUGUGUAACAGUGUAAUGCCUCUUUACAUACACUGAUUAAAUUCCUUGAAGGCUACAUUUAGGUAUAAUUUAGUUAUGCUUUAACAUGGUUAAUGUUAUGCUAUUAUUAUAGAUCUGUGUAAUGGUACGUUGGGUCAACAAGAAAUAGCUAAUUAUAUAAAUGUACUACAAACCACACAAAGAAGAGAACGAAACCUUUACAGAAAUCAGAGUUGGGAAUAUUCCUUCACUCUGAAAGGCAUUAGGAGGCAGAAAUGAACAGUUCUGCAUCAGUGCAGGAACACAAUCCAAUAAAGUAUCUUAAAAUAACAAACUGAUCCAGCAGGGUCAGAUAUGGUUGCAUUGAUCUGCCUCGCCAGCUGUCAGCUGAACAGAGUCGCCGUGGUUCGCUAUACCUGGAGAGACCACCUGACUCCCGGCACAUCGUUCUCAAACUCCCACUGGCUUUCACCACUGAGUGGACGUUAAACAGAUAUAAUUGAGUCAGAUGAUAUCUAACGGUUAAUGGUGGGUUUAUUUCAGUCUUUUAUUUGUAACUAAGUGAAUCAAUUUGGCUGAGAAUAAGCUUAAGCUGCAUAACGGCAUAGUUUUAUUUAGUCUUAAAUGUCUUGCUGGAGAGUCUUUUGGAAAUCAAUAAUUCAGUUAUCUUUAUUCCUGGACGUUGAUGCUGGGAACAUCGCCUCAAAAAAGAGACCAAGCCUGACUGCAGAACAUGGUUUUCACUUGUAAAGGUUCUACAUAAAGGAGAGUAGCAACAAAGGGACAUUUCUGGAUUACAUUAGAGCUGACUGUAAGGUUACCUGCAGUAAGGACACUUCCUUGUUUUCAUCUGGACCCUCCAGAAGUCAUUUAUCAGACUGCUUUUCUUCUCAACCAGAUGUUUAAUCUGACAAACAUUGACAACACAAAUGUCCACUCACAGGUUUGGAGUUCUGUGAAGCUUUGGUGUUCGCUCCAACUAUCGUGUUGGUAAACUCCCUCAGCACCUGCUCCAUCUCAUCUCCUGUAGCUUUGGGAUUCUCGUCAAGGUGCUAACACGCAGACAUGAUCAGUUCCCACCUCCUGCAUGGCUCCACUGUCCACUAACCUGAGCUGGUUCACCAGCAGGUGGAUGGCGCCUCGAGGACACGUCAACAUGUGACACGCCAGACACGAACCGCGAAUCAGCAGG